This 303-nucleotide ribosomal RNA is filed under the name uncultured bacterium. RNAcentral describes it as "partial 16S ribosomal RNA". It matches the Rfam family "Bacterial small subunit ribosomal RNA", at positions 507 to 808 of the family's 1533-position model. The record is from RNAcentral.
AGCAGCCGCCGCGGUAAUACGUAUGUCACAAGCGUUAUCCAGAUCUAUUGGGCGUAAAGCGCGUCUAGGUGGUUAUGUAAGUCUGAUGUGAAAAUGCAGGGCUCAACUCUGUAUUGCGUUGGAAACUGUGUAACUAGAGUACUGGAGAGGUAAGCGGAACUACAAGUGUAGAGGUGAAAUUCGUAGAUAUUUGUAGGAAUGCCGAUGGGGAAGCCAGCUUACUGGACAGAUACUGACGCUGAAGCGCGAAAGCGUGGGUAGCAAACAGGAUUAGAGACCCCUGUAGUCCCUGUCUCUUAUACC